GUUCAAAAUAUCGCGAGGGUUGGUUGUGUUCGACGCAAUUCAAAGUUUACGCGCGAAAGUUGGUGUCAUAUUUUCUAAGGAUGUUUUAUUUCUAAAGAUUAACUAUGGCGUGGAAAAUUCUGUUCACGACGGUUUUCUUUAUACUGAGUGCAGACGCUCGCUACAAUGAACGCGUACUUGCAAAUGGAAUUGCG
Pieris napi is the source of this 194-nucleotide long non-coding RNA. RefSeq lists it as uncharacterized. The record is from RefSeq and is a predicted model, not a curated record. Lineage: Eukaryota; Metazoa; Arthropoda; Insecta; Lepidoptera; Pieridae. The transcript has 3 exons.